Molecule: long non-coding RNA, 938 nt
Organism: Zonotrichia leucophrys gambelii
Lineage: Eukaryota; Metazoa; Chordata; Aves; Passeriformes; Passerellidae
Exons: 2
Source: RefSeq, a predicted model, not a curated record
CGGCCCCUCCGUGCCACGGGCUGAGGGAGGCGCGGGGCGGCCGCGGUGCCGGGGUAGGGCCGUGUGCAAGCCGACCGCUCCCUGGUCUCGCUGGCCCUUAGCCCCGGGCGCAGGAACCGAGGGGCUCCCGCCGAGAGCCGCCGCCGCUUUCUGCAAGCACGCCGAGCUCGGGCAGGACACCCGCGAGCCUGAGCGAUGCCUAAAGCCCGGAGAGCCUGGGCGAUGGGCUUUUAGUGUUCCAUAGCCCGAUGCGAGUAGGAAGGACUCCCGAUACUCCCGGUGGUUGGCACGUUCUGGGAUGUGCUCCUGGCCUAAGCAACUGCCCUGCCCAAGCUAAGGCUGCAAUCAACCAACACCCAUACCUGGAAAAUGGGGAUGUGUUAAUAACCAGCACAAAUCCUGCUCUAACGCUGCCACGCCUGACUUCCUGCAUCACACACCUGAGUCCCGUGUCACCUGAACGCCAGGAAGCUGAACUGAGGUGAGGCAGCAGGGAAGACAAAUGCCCUGGUGUUACCCACACUGCUCCAUGCUACAUCUCCCUUCUGGGUGUCCCAAGCAGUCAGGAACCUGAGUGAUAAUUUGGGUGACUGGUGUUGCUGGAAACAGUACAGCUUGCCUGCCAAGUGAGUGAGUUUAGGAGGGUUAGGAUUGGAUAUGUUUUGCUGAGAAACCGUAAAUACAAGUAGUAACAACAGCUGUAGAAAACAGCACAUGCCAGAAAUAAAUGACAAUACUCCAGAAGUUUAAAAAAAAAUUAUAUUGUAAGUACAGUACAAAAGUCUGUGUAUAAUUGUAAUGUAAUCUGGACCAAACAGCAAAGAAAUAACAAAAAUAUAAAAACUGCUAAGUCUUGACAAAGUUUUCCUAUAGUACCAAAUACCACAAGAUACAGAUUAUACAAAGUGUACAAAUUUUAAUAAAAAUACAAUACACCA